This 264-nucleotide ribosomal RNA is filed under the name uncultured bacterium. Its description in RNAcentral is "partial 16S ribosomal RNA". It matches the Rfam family "Bacterial small subunit ribosomal RNA", at positions 793 to 1055 of the family's 1533-position model. The record is from RNAcentral.
GUCCACGCCCUAAACGAUGUCUACUAGUUGUUGGUGGAGUAAAUCCAUGAGUAACGCAGCUAACGCGUGAAGUAGACCGCCUGGGGAGUACGGUCGCAAGAUUAAAACUCAAAUGAAUUGACGGGGCCCGCACAAGCGGUGGAUUAUGUGGAUUAAUUCGAUGCAACGCGAAAACCUUAACCUGGCCUUGACAUGUACGGAACUUUCCAGAGAUGGAUUGGUGCUCGAAAGAGAACCGUAACACAGGUGCUGCAUGGCUGUCGU